RNAcentral lists this small RNA (2301 nucleotides) under Pongo abelii (Sumatran orangutan). Its description in RNAcentral is "processed transcript". Lineage: Eukaryota; Metazoa; Chordata; Mammalia; Primates; Hominidae. The record is from RNAcentral.
GUGCUGAAUGUGGAGAGGCAAAUAAAACGGACGCACAAACCUUGACCUCCUGGAGUGAUUAUGAUCAAGAUUAUGAUCAGUGCAACAGACAGUAAUCCAAGAAGCAAACAAGUGUGAAAACAGAGCUGCAGAGGUGACACUUGGAUGUCCCCCUGGCCAGGUGGUGACUAGAGGUCAGUUCUCUUCUCUAGUUGAGUGGUUGUCCAGGUUCCUGGGCUCUUUCCGCCCUGACCUACAGGCCUGACAGAGCCGUCAAAACAUGAGAGCCCUCUUUCUAAACAUCUCACUUCUUGGAAAAAAUAGAAUGAAUCAACCUUGUCCUAUGUUAGGCAGCUGGAGGCAAGAGUAAGACAGCUGGAGGAAGAAAAUCGCAUGCUGCCCCAGGUUGUGUGGAGGAAACUUGGAGAUGCUGCAGGUUCGUGUCCUGGAAUUAGGCAACAUUUGUCAGGAAACCAGUACAAAGGACCAAUGUGAGAUGCGCUCUUUUUCAAACAGGAGACCACUACUGCCAAAAAGUGAUAGAAGACAAGAAGAAGAAAAAGGAAACAGUGUGUUUCCACAAACCUGGACUCAUGGAAUAACAUGGAGUAAUUGUACAUUGCACAUAUCUCCCCUCUAAAACCUGUAGUACAACUUCUCCCCUCAAGCUGAUAUUCUGUGUCUCUCACCUCAAUGUCCACAACAGUCAAUCUCAAACAAGGUAGCUUUGAAAAUCUCAAACAGAGUAGCUUUGAAAAUCACCAUUUUGGUACCAGUGUUUUCAUUAGAACUAAGUGUUUUUAACUACCCAGAUAUAAUAUUGUAAUUGGGAAACCUGCAUAGUUUUAAGAGUCCAGUGGAGCCUCAGUGUUUUGAAUAGAGAUGACUCAUUACACAUAAUGGUGGGAGUUUUCUACCAUGUCAUAUUGAAGAUAUGAAGAGGUAUUUUCCAGCUUCCCAAGUUUGAGAGUUGGGCAUUUACCUCUUAUACUUCAGUCAACAAACAAACUACUAAUUCCUGAUGCACAAUUAAUUUGGAUGCAAGAUAAGAUUAAGUUUCUGGAGUUUUAUUUUGACUUCUGAGGUGCUAAAAAAUACCAUGUAAAUUCUCCCUACCAGCUAGAAGGGUAGCAAGACUUUGUAGAGUGCUUCUCAGAGAGUACCAUUUACUUCAAUUGAUCAAUAUAAAUAUAUCUUUUUUUUUCAUCUUAAUGAGUUUCUCAUAAAGACACAUCUUGGGGCAUACCAACCUUCAUAUUCAUUCAGUGUAUCCAUUGGUGUUAAUAUUAACAAUUUCAAUUAAAAACAAGCAAACAUAAUUUUUCUAAGUGUUUCGAGCUGUGAGAUGUCAAUUUCUACAAUUUAGUUUCUAGACAUGCUGUAUAUUUAAUAAACUUUAUGUAAACUUUAAAAUAUUGCACUGCAUUUAUGAAAAAGGCUUUCUUUGCCUACUGCAGCUAUCUAACAUUUUAUGAAACUGACGCAUGUCCUUCAUUAUUGAGGCUAAAAGCUCUUGUUCAGAUUGCUUGAGGUUUGAAAAAGAGGUGUGCUAGCUUUGCUUAGUUUAUUUCUUAUUUUUGGUAUACAUAUACAUAUAUAUAAUAUUAGAAUGUGUGUACUGGAAAUGCUAUGAUAGGUAUUUUGUGUUAAUCCAAAUGCAAUGAUAGUUUCUUGUAUGAAUGUGCAAGAGGCCUGUGACCGAAUGCUACGUUUUUAUGGUAGUUUAAGAUUAUAAAAGUAGAAAUGCAACAACUCCCAGUUUUUGGAUAGGUUCUAAGUUUCUGAGAUUUGAUUCAUAGCAGAUAUUCUCUGUUGUUGUUGUUGUUUUAGAUGGGCUCAUUACAUAAUGAGUUAAUUGUCACUAGUAGGAGACUGUGAAGGAAUUUUGUUAUACUUUCAAAAAUGUUACUGUGAUGAAAAAUCAUCCCUCUAUUUUCGGAAAAUAUUUAUGAAUUAAUUUACUAUAGAAUUAUCUCUCUAAUUAUCAUAAUUGGGUUACAAUUUAAGCUCCCCUUUUAAAUGUUAUAUUUUAAAAUGUUAUUACUCUAUAAAAGAAAAUUGCUUGCUAUAUUUACACCUUCUUUCCUAUGAAAGCUUUCAUCCUUAAGUUGUUGUAUUCCUACACUCCGAAGACGUUUAAAAUAAGCUUUUGUGCCUGCAGCAGAGCCUGCAGAAGCUAAUACAAGGGACACUGGUCUUUUGACAAAAUAAACUUGUGUAAAUUUUGAUACUGUAUUAAAACUAUUUUUUUAAAGUUCUGCAUAAAAUUGAGUAUUAAGUAUAUGUGUUCAUCUUAGCAAUGGUAAUAAAUUAUUUAAUCUC